UAUUAUCUAUCUACCUAUCUAUCCGUUUAUCUAUUUGUUAAUCUCUCAAUUUUAUCCAUAUAUUUAUCUAUCAAUCUGUUUAUCUAUCUAUCUAAACAUCUUUUAUUAAUUCCCUAACAUAUUCUCUCUUAGCAACACACACACACACACACACACACACACACACACAUACACACACACACACACACACACACAGAGGAAAUACCCCCAGUGAGAGGAGAGGAAAGGAAGAGGAAGACAACGUAAGAAGGAAGAGGAGGCGGAGGCGGAGGCGUAGGAGGAGGAGGAGGAGGAGGACGAGAGGGAAGAGAAGGGCCAGUAAAUAGGACAGGCAGACAGACAGACACAAGCAUUAUAACACCACAAGAGGUUCCCGUCACUUCCUCGUCGCCAUCCGCCAGAAAUACCUGUCUAUUAAUCACAGGCGAGAUGAGAUUCGCAAGGUGGCACCACGACUCCCGUUUUCUUCAGCAGUUUUCAUUUCUUCGUUUUCUGUGGAGGAGGAUGAAGAAGAAGAAGAAGAAGAAGAAGAAGAAGAAGAAGAAGAAGAAGAAGAAGAAGAAGAAGAAGAAGAAGAGGAGGAGGAGGAGAGAAGAGAAGAGAAGUAAAGAAGAUUAUAGGGAAGAUGAAAAGAGAAGAGGAAAAGGAAGAGAAAGAAAAUAAUAAUAGCAAUAAUAAUAAUAAUAGAGACGAAUGAAGAAAACUAGUGAAAAGGGAAAAGAGGAAAGAAAAGAGAAGGAAAAAUAGAAAAAAAGGUGGUGCUGGUGACCCUUCCCUGAGUCUACACAGAGAGGAUAGACUGAAAUUAAUUGAUUGUGAGAUAUGAGAUGCUGGUGACCCUUGCUUGGAAAAAUGUACCGAAAAGAUGGAUUAAUAUAGAGAUAACAGGUGAUCUUGAAACUUCCUUGAAACUGCACUGGGGAUGGACCAAGAAGAUUGAUGGUUUAAACAGACACUUCAGGCAAUCACAGGGACUCAAGGUUUACUGAAGUUGGGUAAAAGUCAUUAGGAGAGUUUAAGGAAAGACUUGUAUGGGAUAAAAAUUAGCAGGAGAGAUAGGGAAAGACUUGUAUGGGGUUAAUAGUUGGCAGGAUGGUUUAGGGAAAGACUUGUGUGGGGUAAAAAAUAGCAGGAGACUUAGGGAAAGACUUGUAUUGGGUAAAAGAUGGCAGGAAAGUUUAGGGAAAGACUUGUGUGGGAUAAAAGAUAACAGGAAAGUUUAGGGAAAGACUUGUGUGGGGUAAAAAUUGGCAGGAAAGUUUAGGGAAAGACUUGUGUGGGAUAAAAGAUAACAGGAAAGUUUAGGGAAAGACUUGUGUGGGAUAAAAGAUA
Molecule: long non-coding RNA, 1332 nt
Organism: Scylla paramamosain (green mud crab)
Lineage: Eukaryota; Metazoa; Arthropoda; Malacostraca; Decapoda; Portunidae
Exons: 3
Source: RefSeq, a predicted model, not a curated record